AGAAAACAAAAGACCCUCUUCAUCGCCAACCUAUGAAUCGGGUGAGGUAUCAUUAUGAAUUGAAAAGUCGGUUGAUCGCUACCUGGAUAUUUGGAUACGUUAAUAUGAUGGAUUAUAAUGCUCCUAUAAUCCGGCGAAAUUCACUUACAUCCUCAAUGAACGGUUCAUCAGAUGUUAUCAAUGUGAAGUAUACGUUCAAUGUGAUGUAUAUGUUCAUGUCUAUACCUAGUUGUGUGUUCAGUUAUAUAUCGAAUUGUAUAUACGUUCAUGUAUAUAUCUAGUUGCAUGUUCAGGUAUAUAAUUAAUUGCAGGUUCAAGUAUAUAACUAGUUGCAUGUUAAGGUAUAUAACUAGGUUCCGGUUCAAGUAUAUAACUAGUUUCCUUUUAAGGUAUAUAACUAGUUGCAUGUUCAGACGAGAGCGAUUUUCAGAUGAAAGUGAUUUUCUAGAGAGAUUUUCAAAUGAGAGCGAUUUAGAGAAUGAUAUCAUAUUGUUGAGAUGAGGUUAAUUGAUAAAUUUUCAGAUCAAGAUGAGGUUGUUGAAUUUUUGAAAGAUUGUCGAUUUGCUGGUAAGUUUGUCGAUUUUCAAAGAAAGAGAUUAUAUGAGAUAUAAAUCUGAUUUUUUUUUGUGUUUUGUCGUAUUCAAUUUUUCACUCGAAAUACAGUUGUUUUCAAAAGGCCGACAUGGUUCAAGGUUUUCCUCUCAAAUCUCCAGACAUGUGACAUGAAUCUAGGGCGUCCGACAAUGAAGUUCAACGUUCUCAAUCUCUCCUGGUUCAUUAGUAUUCGCACAUCUAUCUUCAUGAUCUUUUUAUCCAUCUAUGUUACGAUGUUUUCUUUUACUAUUUUUCACCCAUUUAGACCUAGGAUUCUAUCGUUC
RNAcentral lists this long non-coding RNA (878 nucleotides) under Zostera marina. RNAcentral's name for it is "long non-coding RNA (ZMAR_LNC001986)". The record is from RNAcentral. Lineage: Eukaryota; Viridiplantae; Streptophyta; Magnoliopsida; Alismatales; Zosteraceae.